This 726-nucleotide ribosomal RNA is filed under the name uncultured bacterium. RNAcentral describes it as "bacterial SSU rRNA". It matches the Rfam family "Bacterial small subunit ribosomal RNA", at positions 789 to 1515 of the family's 1533-position model. The record is from RNAcentral.
GGUAGUCCACGCCGUAAACGAUGUCGACUUGGAGGUUGUGCCCUUGAGGCGUGGCUUCCGGAGCUAACGCGUUAAGUCGACCGCCUGGGGAGUACGGCCGCAAGGUUAAAACUCAAAUGAAUUGACGGGGGCCCGCACAAGCGGUGGAGCAUGUGGUUUAAUUCGAUGCAACGCGAAGAACCUUACCUACUCUUGACAUCCAGAGAACUUAGCAGAGAUGCUUUGGUGCCUUCGGGAACUCUGAGACAGGUGCUGCAUGGCUGUCGUCAGCUCGUGUUGUGAAAUGUUGGGUUAAGUCCCGCAACGAGCGCAACCCUUAUCCUUUGUUGCCAGCGGUUAGGCCGGGAACUCAAAGGAGACUGCCAGUGAUAAACUGGAGGAAGGUGGGGAUGACGUCAAGUCAUCAUGGCCCUUACGAGUAGGGCUACACACGUGCUACAAUGGCGCAUACAAAGAGAAGCGACCUCGCGAGAGCAAGCGGACCUCAUAAAGUGCGUCGUAGUCCGGAUUGGAGUCUGCAACUCGACUCCAUGAAGUCGGAAUCGCUAGUAAUCGUAGAUCAGAACGCUACGGUGAAUACGUUCCCGGGCCUUGUACACACCGCCCGUCACACCAUGGGAGUGGGUUGCAAAAGAAGUAGGUAGCUUAACCUUCGGGAGGGCGCUUACCACUUUGUGAUUCAUGACUGGGGUGAAGUCGUAACAAGGUAACCGUAGGGGAACCUGC